UAGGGAAUCUUCGGCAAUGGGGGGAACCCUGACCGAGCAACGCCGCGUGAGUGAAGAAGGUUUUCGGAUCGUAAAGCUCUGUUGUUAAGGAAGAACGAGUGUGAGAAUGGAAAGUUCAUGCUGUGACGGUACUUAACCAGAAAGGGACGGCUAACUACGUGCCAGCAGCCGCGGUAAUACGUAGGUCCCGAGCGUUGUCCGGAUUUAUUGGGCGUAAAGCGAGCGCAGGCGGUUAGAAAAGUCUGAAGUGAAAGGCAGUGGCUCAACCAUUGUAGGCUUUGGAAACUGUUUAACUUGAGUGCAGAAGGGGAGAGUGGAAUUCCAUGUGUAACGGUGAAAUGCGUAGAUAUAUGGAGGAACACCAGUGGCGAAGGCGACUCUCUGGUCUGUAACUGACGCUGAGACUCGAAAGCGUGGGUAGCAAACAGG
Molecule: ribosomal RNA, 429 nt
Filed under: Bacteroidota bacterium
Lineage: Bacteria; Pseudomonadati; Bacteroidota
Description: Bacteroidetes bacterium partial 16S ribosomal RNA
Rfam family: Bacterial small subunit ribosomal RNA
Source: RNAcentral